RNAcentral lists this ribosomal RNA (837 nucleotides) under uncultured archaeon. Its description in RNAcentral is "bacterial SSU rRNA". It matches the Rfam family "Archaeal small subunit ribosomal RNA", at positions 21 to 859 of the family's 1478-position model. The record is from RNAcentral.
GGUUACUGCUAUCGGUGUUCGCCUAAGCCAUGCGAGUCAUAUGUUCGUAAGAACAUGGCGUACUGCUCAGUAACACGUGGAUAACCUGCCCUUGGGUCCGGCAUAACCCCGGGAAACUGGGGAUAAUUCCGGAUAACGCACAUAUGCUGGAAUGCUUUAUGCGUAAAAUGGAUUCGUCUGCCCAAAGAUGGGUCUGCGGCCUAUCAGGUAGUAGUGGGUGUAAUGUACCUACUAGCCUACGACGGGUACGGGUCGUGAGAGCAAGAGCCCGGAGAUGGAUUCUGAGACAUGAAUCCAGGCCCUACGGGGCGCAGCAGGCGCGAAAACUUUACAAUGCGGGAAACCGUGAUAAGGGGACACCGAGUGCCAGCAUCCUAUGCUGGCUGUCCGGGUGUGUAAAAUACACCUGUUAGCAAGGGCCGGGCAAGACCGGUGCCAGCCGCCGCGGUAACACCGGCGGCCCGAGUGGUGAUCGUGAUUAUUGGGUCUAAAGGGUCCGUAGCCGGUUUGGUCAGUCCUCCGGGAAAUCUGACAGCUUAACUGUUAGGCUUUCGGAGGAUACUGCCAGACUUGGAACCGGGAGAGGUAAGAGGUACUACAGGGGUAGGAGUGAAAUCUUGUAAUCCCUGUGGGACCACCUGUGGCGAAGGCGUCUUACCAGAACGGGUUCGACGGUGAGGGACGAAAGCUGGGGGCACGAACCGGAUUAGAUACCCGGGUAGUCCCAGCCGUAAACGAUGCUCGCUAGGUGUCAGGCAUGUAGCGACCGUGUCUGGUGCCGCAGGGAAGCCGUGAAGCGAGCCACCUGGGAAGUACGGCCGCAAGGCUGAAACUUAA